AUGGGGAGCAAUGCUGGCGCCUUUAAUAAAACCACUUGGGAAUAUCAACAUGAUACGUAAGUGGCUGAAGGGUCCUGAAUUUUCCCAGUGAUAUUGAUAUAUCAUAAAAUGAAUGGGAUCUGGCAAUAAUUUAAGAAGUGAAAUGCUAAAGAUACCAAGAAGUGAGAUGCUGGAGUUGUGAUUACCAACAGUGAACUGUGACAUUUUACUUUGCAUCAGAAGGAUGUGAGAACACUUCAGGAAGGCAGCCAUGUAUAAGGCAGGAACAGAACUCUCAUCAGAAAACAAACCCUCUGGACCUUGAUAUGGAACUUUCAGCUUCUAGAAAUGUGAGAAGUUAUUCAAAGGCAAGAAUUUCAGCGAGAGUUGGAUUCAUUCUUGGAUAUCAGUGAACCAUCCUGAACUUCCUACGCGUCAUUUCUCUGGCUCUCUAAACCCAGUGAACAGAUGCUAGCUCUAAUGUAUAUCAGGACAUCCUUAUUUUGUCACUGCUGGGGUACCACAGCCUUGCCAUCUAAUUUGCUGGUCUUUCUCCUCUAUUGAAAUUAAUAUUUGAAAUGUGAAAACCUCAACAUUAGCACCGAAUAUUUUAAACAUUUUAUAGCCCUUCAGCUGUUCUGUAGUGCCAGUUUGUUUUCCAUUCCCCUUGACAUCUCACAAUGCUAAGUGCCCAGUGACAGCCUGUAGAGGUUUCGCCAUAAUCCACCUUUAUCCAUUAACAGACACUCAAUCACUAAAGUGCUUACUAGACUAAACAUAUUUAUCCAACCAAAUCACACUUUACAAUGCAAAUCUGCCAAUCAGACCCCGGCUAUUAACAAGGAACUGCUUUAAGGGGAUUUUGGUGUUUGUGCUGUGAAGAGCCUGCUUACCUCCAACAAACCACUAAACCAAAUUAACAUAGCUGUAUCCUCAUAAAAGAAACCAGAUAUCCUGUUGUGAAAAUAGAGAGCUUGGUGGGACAGGCCUCCUUUGAUGGCUAACAGUGUGGCAGACAAGGCUUCAGACUUCAAAUCUGGCUACCACCAAGUCAUUACAAACCGCCAGCAUCAAGCUUUUGAUAACUUUAAAAGCAAAAUAAAAAUGUAGCGUUGGGGUAACUCAGUAAGUCGUCAACUUAUUCAGUUACUAUUAUAAUUGCAGUAAGUGCUGUAAUUGUUGGAUAAGGCUCCUUAAUUCUAAUUGCUCCUUCAACCAAGAUCAUGUUGUAAAAGUGCUUGCAUUAGCCAAAAA
This is a long non-coding RNA of Lepus europaeus (European hare), 1233 nucleotides long. RefSeq lists it as uncharacterized. The transcript has 3 exons. The record is from RefSeq and is a predicted model, not a curated record. NCBI's taxonomy places the organism in Eukaryota, Metazoa, Chordata, Mammalia, Lagomorpha, Leporidae.